UUUUUCCCCUUCUAGUAAACUUCAGGAGGGUGGGGUUCACUGGUAGAUGCUAAUAUGGUGUAUAUGUGAAAUGAAAAGUUGUAUUAAGGUUAAGGGUCGCCUACUACUCCUUAAAUUAUUGCACGGAAGCAGAUGGCAGGCUGUGGAGAGCCCUUUUGUUGUGGAAGUGUCCCUUGCAGAAUAGUUCCAUGUUUCAAGAUGCACCAGCUACACAUUCAGCUUCGAGACAGAUCUGGCACCAAACAUGGAGGCUUAAUGCUACUUCAUAAGGAUUUGAAUUGUGCACUCAAAAGGCUUGGAGCAGAAACAUCAUCUGGCACUUGGAGAUGAAGCUGCAAGCUCUGCAAGGCUGCCCUAGGCAGGGGAUACCUGUGCCUCCAGCAUGAGAUGCUGUUCCAUCUGUUCCUGAUGUUGGACAAGACAAGUCCUCCCUAGUUUAAGGCUUCCAGAGUGGUUAUCAUUGUGAUAGAUGGUGCAGUGAGGCUGUUAAGUUGUGCUGAUGGUGCCAGCAAGAAAAAGUGAAGCUUGUGGGGAGCUUGUGUGAGAAGCAAGAUUAAUUUAUGUGUGAGGAAAGGACCAUGCUGUCUGCAGCCUCCCUGGGUGAGGAAUCAACUUGAAACUCCUGCAUGAAAACCAAGAAGAAGGUGGAAGACUGCAGAACAGUGGGUUACACUUGAAUGAGUAGCAUUAAAAAAGCCAAGGUGUUUUUACCACACUGGUAAUGUUUUUCUGAUACUGAUGGGAACUAAUAAAAAUCUGUAAACUCUG
Molecule: long non-coding RNA, 768 nt
Organism: Calypte anna (Anna's hummingbird)
Lineage: Eukaryota; Metazoa; Chordata; Aves; Apodiformes; Trochilidae
Exons: 12
Source: RefSeq, a predicted model, not a curated record